AACACUCCGAGUUCCCAUGGAGUGGAAAAUCUUGCGAGCCUCCUCAAGCUCGCCACACUUGCAGUACAUGUCUACCAGGCAAGUCGCCAUGUACACACCUAGGUGUUUCUUCUCCUUGCUCAGUACUGAAUGGAGUUCCAUCCCGAUGCGUAGAGCUCUCUCCCUCUUGUCCCUGGAUUCGGUAGCAAGUCUGGAGCAGGCGCUGAUCACCGCGACAUGAGUCCGAUCGUUGGGUUGAAUGGUGGUACAAGCUCUCAGGGCAGAGUAGUACUCCAGAGCAAGUUCAGCUCGCCCGUUCGUGUUGCACCCCUGGAUGAUCGCGGUGUAGGACACAACACUCCGAGUUCCCAUGGAGUGGAAAAUCUUGCGAGCCUCCUCAAGCUCGCCACAGUUGCAGUACAUGUCUACCAGGCAAGUCGCCAUGUACAGACCUAGACGUUUCUUCUCCUUGCUCAGUACUGAAUGGACUUCCAUCCCGAUGCGUAGAGCUCUCUCCCUCUUCUCGCUGGAUUCGGUAGCAAGUGUGGAGCAGGCGCUGAUCACCGCGACAUGUGUCCGAUCAUCGGGUUGAAUAGUGUUAUCAGCUCUCAGGGCAGAGUAGUACUCCAGAGCAAGUUCAGCUUGCCCGUUCGUGUUGCACCCCUGGAUGAUCGCGGUGUAGGACACAACACUCCGAGUUCCCAUGGAGUGGAAAAUCUUGCGAGCCUCCUCAAGCUCGCCACACUUGCAGUACAUGUCUACCAGGCAAGUCGCCACGAACAGAUCUAGCUGUUUCUUCUCCUUGCUCAGCAUUGAAUGGAUCUCCAUCCCGAUGCGUAGAGCUCUCUCCCUCUUCUCGCUGGAUUCGGUAGCAAGUCUGGAGCAGGCGCUGAUCACCGCGACAUGUGUCCAAUCGUUGGGUUGAAUGGUGGUACAAGCUCUCAGGGCAGAGUAGUACUCCAGAGCAAGUUCAGCUUGCCCGUUCGAGCCGCAGCCCUGGAUGAUCGCGUUGUAGGACACAACACUCCGGGUUCCCAUGGAGUCGAAAAUCUUGCGAGCCUUCUCAAGCUCGCCACACUUGCAGUACAUAUCGAUCAAUCCCGUCAACAAGUAGAUGUUGCUUUUGUGCUCAUCACUCUUGAGCACAGCUUCAUGGGCUUGUUUUCCCAAAGAAAGGGAUCUGCUCUCAGCUGAGUCUCUCACGCGGUGUAUCAGCCUCCCUAAACUCACCGGGUCAUCACCAGCUACAGGUGGGGUAUGUGGAGAUUUGUAGCUGGCCGCCUUACCUACAGCUGGGUCAGCGAGCGACUCGAGUUUUGCAGAGACCCAGGUUGGUGUUUUCCUGUUGGCGAUCCACAGGCUCUCUCCAGUAGAAACAUGUUUGAAAUCCGGGUAGGACUCUGAGAAGAACUUGUUUUUCUUCUUGAACCUGCUGUCCCACCAGAAAGUGGGAUCCCUGAACUCCAUGAGAUUGUUGAGAAAUGACACACACAUAUAUAUAAUUGGCUACUUGGCCUUCGACAUAAGCUGCCAGAUCCUUGUUCGGGAUGUUCACCUGGAGUCAUCUCGCGUCUCCAUGAGAUUGUUGAGAAAUGACACACACACCACACAAACCCUAGCGCCGCACGCAUACCCUAGAAAUCCCGAUUUGUUAUUACUUAACUGUAGUAGUAAAAAG
Molecule: long non-coding RNA, 1657 nt
Filed under: Selaginella moellendorffii
Lineage: Eukaryota; Viridiplantae; Streptophyta; Lycopodiopsida; Selaginellales; Selaginellaceae
Description: long non-coding RNA (SMOE_LNC002374)
Source: RNAcentral